RNAcentral lists this ribosomal RNA (630 nucleotides) under Triticum aestivum (bread wheat). RNAcentral describes it as "partial small subunit ribosomal RNA". Lineage: Eukaryota; Viridiplantae; Streptophyta; Magnoliopsida; Poales; Poaceae. The record is from RNAcentral.
AUGCAACAAAAGCUACAUGGGGCUGCUUUGUUCUUGAACCCAAAUAAAUUCUUUGCCAUUAAGGAGUCCAACAAAAGACAAGCUUCCCGUCUCCGUUCAAUGUUCAAUGAUUUGCUACGGAAGAUGGUGCCCGAUGAUGAGCAACAAACAACUAUAAGUAGGGAAGCUGAUGACUAUGAGCUGCAAAGCGAAUCAUUAGUCUAUGUUGUUCAACAUCCGGCUGCGAGCGCAAUUGGAGUGUAUUUGCUCAUAUCCACACCAAAGAACUGUCUAGAGUAUAAGAGAUUGAACAAGCUAUCAUAUGUCUUGUACAACCAGAAAAUGGAAGCUAGGUUUCAGAAUCUGCGUGAGCAAGGAUCUAAAGCAAAGAAAUCUAGCCCACUUGUCCUAGAAGAAUUCCAAUGGGAUAAUGAAUGGGUUGCCAUGGACAGUGAAACACCACUACUUUGGUCUCAAGUUGAUGAAGCUCUGGGUGCGUCGACUCCUCUAGCAGGUCGCAACUAUCCUAGGAGAGCUCGUGGUGAUCCUGAGGAGGGAGAGCGGAUGCUGGACGAGGAGAUGGAGGAGGAUGGCCGUUAUGUGGUGGAGGCCGCCCACAAGGAUCCUACCCUUAAUGAGUGUCUGGAUUGA